UGUUUCGAAAAUCUAAACUCAGUAUAGCCGUGCGGCUAUAUUAUUUUUAAAUAUAAAAAACAGUUGAACCCCAUCCAUUUGGCGCCACGUGUCAACACAAGGUCAAUUUUAAAAAAAAUUUAAAACACGGAGUAUAGCCGUUGGGCUGUACCUUUUUUUAAUUUAAAAAAAAGUGAGAACCCUCCCUUUUAGCGCCACGUGUCAAAAGUUGUUUUUUCAAAAAAUCUUAGUAUAGCCGCACGGCUGUACUAUUUCAUUAAAAGAAAUAAAAAAUAAAAAAUCCAAAAGGACCCUCCUAGUUGCAUUAGUUUGUACCUUAUAAAUAUUAAUUUGCUAGUUUCAACAUAUCCAAAGUAGAUACUAAUCUUCCACUCUAAUAAUUUUUUAUAACAUAUGUUAUUCUUAUUCAAUAACAUGUGAGAAUUAUUUGUAUAAUACGUGAAUUGUGUGUCUUACUCAAUUUUUGUAAAAAUUACGUGUAUGAACAUUAAAAAUACGUACGUACAUUUAUGUUGUUUUUUUUAAAAAUUAUUAUCACUAUAUAACUCUUUAACCCAUUUAAUUAAUUAACUCAUAGUUUUAUUUAUUAGUUACCGCCUCGUCUAUACAAUUUUAUUAAAAGACAUUUUAUUUUUUAAUUGUUUUUUUAGAAAGUAAAGCCGGCCGGCUAUACUCGUUUUUUUUUAAAAAAAGAAAGAAAAAAGAUGAAAAAUCGAGUAUAGCCGCGCGGCUAUACUAUCUCCUUGUGAAAAACAGAGCAGCUGCAGAGCGUCCACGUGUUAAAUAGUAUAGCCGGGCGGCUAGACUGUUUCGAAAAUCUAAACUCAGUAUAGCCGUGCGGCUAUAUUAUUUUUAAAUAUAAAAAACAGUUGAACCCCAUCCAUUUGGGGCCACGUGUCAACACAAGGUCAAUUUUAAAAAAAAUUUAAAACACGGAGUAUAGCCGUUGGGCUGUACCUUUUUUUAAUUUAAAAAAAGUGAGAACCCUCCCUUUUAGCGCCACGUGUCAAAAGUUGUUUUUUCAAAAAAUCUUAGUAUAGCCGCACGGCUGUACUAUUUCAUUAAAAGAAAUAAAAAAUAAAAAAUCCAAAAGGACCCUCCUAGUUGCAUUAGUUUGUACCUUAUAAAUAUUAAUUUGCUAGUUUCAACAUAUCCAAAGUAGAUACUAAUCUUCCACUCUAAUAAUUUUUAUAACAUAUGUUAUUCUUAUUCAAUAACAUGUGAGAAUUAUUUGUAUAAUACGUGAAUUGUGUGUCUUACUCAAAUUUUUGUAAAAAUUACGUGUAUGAAACAUUAAAAAUACGUACGUACAUUUAUGUUGUUUUUUUAAAAAUUAUUAUCACUAUAUAAACUCUUUAACCCAAUUUAAUUAAUUAACUCAUAGGUUUUAAUUUAUUAGUUACCGCUCGUCUAUACUAUUUAUUAAACACAUUUUAUUUUUUUAAUUUUUUUUUUAGAAAGUAAAGCCGGCCGGCUAUACUCGUUUUUUUUUAAAAAAAGAAAGAAAAAAGAUGAAAAAUCGAGUAUAGCCGCGCGGCUAUACUAUCUCCUUGUGAAAAACAGAGCAGCUGCAGAGCGUCCACGUGUUAAAUAGUAUAGCCGGGCGGCUAGACUGUUUCGAAAAUCUAAACUCAGUAUAGCCGUGCGGCUAUAUUAUUUUUAAAUAUAAAAAACAGUUGAACCCCAUCCAUUUGGGGCCACGUGUCAACACAAGGUCAAUUUUAAAAAAAAUUUAAAACACGGAGUAUAGCCGUUGGGCUGUACCUUUUUUUAAUUUAAAAAAAAGUGAGAACCCUCCCUUUUAGCGCCACGUGUCAAAAGUUGUUUUUUCAAAAAAUCUUAGUAUAGCCGCACGGCUGUACUAUUUCAUUAAAAGAAAUAAAAAAUAAAAAAUCCAAAAGGACCCUCCUAGUUGCAUUAGUUUGUACCUUAUAAAUAUUAAUUUGCUAGUUUCAACAUAUCCAAAGUAGAUACUAAUCUUCCACUCUAAUAAUUUUUAUAACAUAUGUUAUUCUUAUUCAAUAACAUGUGAGAAUUAUUUGUAUAAUACGUGAAUUUUGUGUGUCUUACUCAAAUUUUUGUAAAAAUUACGUGUAUGAAACAUUAAAAAUACGUACGUACAUUUAUGUUGUUUUUUUAAAAAUUAUUAUCACUAUAUAAACUCUUUAACCCAAUUU
RNAcentral lists this long non-coding RNA (2177 nucleotides) under Prunus persica (peach). RNAcentral describes it as "long non-coding RNA (PPER_LNC008657)". Lineage: Eukaryota; Viridiplantae; Streptophyta; Magnoliopsida; Rosales; Rosaceae. The record is from RNAcentral.